AACAAGGUCUCCGUUGGUGAACCAGCGGAGGGAUCAUUACAGAGUGUAAAAACUCCCAAACCCUUUGUGAACAUACCACUGUUGCCUCGGCGGACCUACCCGGUAGCUACCCUGUAGCUACCCUGUAGCCGCCGGCGGACCACCAAACUCUGAUUAUGUAGAUAUCUGAGCGUACUUUUAAAUAAGUCAAAACUUUCAACAACGGAUCUCUUGGUUCUGGCAUCGAUGAAGAACGCAGCGAAAUGCGAUAAGUAAUGUGAAUUGCAGAAUUCAGUGAAUCAUCGAAUCUUUGAACGCACAUUGCGCCCAUUAGUACUCUAGUGGGCAUGCCUGUUCGAGCGUCAUUACGACCCUUAAGCCUAGCUUAGUAUUGGGAACCUACGUGCGGCAGCUACCCUGUAGCUACCCUGUAGCUCCUUAAAGACAACGGCGGAGACGUGGAGUCCUCUGAGCUUAGUAACUUUUCUAGCUUCUGAGGGCGCCGCGGCCCCUGCCGUAAAACCCCAACUUUUAGUGGUUGACCUCGGAUCAGGUAGGAAUACCCGCUGAACUUAARCAUAUCAAUAAGCGGAGG
RNAcentral lists this ribosomal RNA (574 nucleotides) under Ascomycota sp. RNAcentral describes it as "eukaryotic LSU rRNA". Lineage: Eukaryota; Fungi; Ascomycota. The record is from RNAcentral.